Molecule: ribosomal RNA, 485 nt
Filed under: uncultured bacterium
Lineage: Bacteria
Description: partial 16S ribosomal RNA
Rfam family: Bacterial small subunit ribosomal RNA
Source: RNAcentral
GACGAACGCUGGCGGCGUGCUUAACACAUGCAAGUCAAGGGGGCUCAGCAAUGGGCAACCGGCGAACGGGUGCGUAACACGUGAGCAAGCUUCCGAUUUGUGGGGGAUAGCCGGCCCAACGGCCGGGUAAUACCGCAUACGUUCACUGGACGGCAUCGUCUGGUGAGGAAACCUCCGGGGCAAAUCGAGGCGCUCGCGGCCUAUCAGCUAGUUGGCGGGGUAACGGCCCACCAAGGCGACGACGGGUAGCUGGUCUGAGAGGAUGGCCAGCCACGGUGGGACUGCGACACGGCCCAGACUCCUACGGGAGGCAGCAGUGGGGAAUAUUGCGCAAUGGACGAAAGUCUGACGCAGCGACGCCGCGUGUGGGAUGAAGCCUUUCGGGGUGUAAACCACUGUUGCCCGGGACGAACAUCCGCUUUCGAGCGGACUGACGGUACCGGGUGAGGAAGCACCGGCUAACUCUGUGCCAGCCGCCGCAGUAA